AGCUUUGCACAGUGGCAGGAUCAUAGCCAGUGAGGUUUCUCCAAGGCACGAGUAUUGCUAAUUAAAAACUAAACAGAAGAAACAUCAGCAAAUGUAAUGAAAAAUGCUAAACGCGUUAACCCUGAACC
Molecule: small nuclear RNA, 128 nt
Organism: Mustela putorius furo (domestic ferret)
Lineage: Eukaryota; Metazoa; Chordata; Mammalia; Carnivora; Mustelidae
Gene: U4
Rfam family: U4 spliceosomal RNA
About the family: U4 small nuclear RNA (U4 snRNA) is a component of the major U2-dependent spliceosome. The structure of U4 snRNA from yeast and human has been reported. U4 snRNA presents a k-turn RNA motif in the 5p-SL related to recognition of Snu13 protein.
Source: Ensembl